GAUGAACGCUGGCGGCGUGCCUAAUACAUGCAAGUCGAGCGAACGGACGAGAAGCUUGCUUCUCUGAUGUUAGCGGCGGACGGGUGAGUAACACGUGGAUAACCUACCUAUAAGACUGGGAUAACUUCGGGAAACCGGAGCUAAUACCGGAUGAUAUUUUGAACCGCAUGGUUAAAAAGUGAAAGACGGUCUUGCUGUCACUUAUAGAUGGAUCCGCGCUGCAUUAGCUAGUUGGUAAGGUAACGGCUUACCAAGGCAACGAUGCAUAGCCGACCUGAGAGGGUGAUCGGCCACACUGGAACGGAGACACGGUCCAGACUCCUACGGGAGGCAGCAGUAGGGAAUCUUCCGAAAUGGGCGAAAGCCUGACGGAGCAACGCCGCGUGAGUGAUGAAGGUCUUCGGAUCGUAAAACUCUGUUAUUAGGGAAGAACAUAUGUGUAAGUAACUGUGCACAUCUUGACGGUACCUAAUCAGAAAGCUACGGCUAACUACGUG
RNAcentral lists this ribosomal RNA (497 nucleotides) under uncultured bacterium. Its description in RNAcentral is "partial 16S ribosomal RNA". It matches the Rfam family "Bacterial small subunit ribosomal RNA", at positions 28 to 507 of the family's 1533-position model. The record is from RNAcentral.